Molecule: long non-coding RNA, 2453 nt
Filed under: Diabrotica virgifera virgifera (western corn rootworm)
Lineage: Eukaryota; Metazoa; Arthropoda; Insecta; Coleoptera; Chrysomelidae
Description: uncharacterized LOC114342109
Source: RNAcentral
AAUUUUUAAAUGUCAAAGGUCUAAAAAUUGUAGAAUAGAAAUGAAUUCCAUUGACGAAGAAUUACAGUUUUUUAUGUGUUUAUUAUGUAAAAUAUUGUAUGAAACUGUGCGUGAAGUACUUUUUGCGAACUUACGCGAUGUAUAGCACUCGCUCCGCUGUCGCUCUUGCUCUAAACAUCGCGUGCGUUCGCAAAAAGCAUAGGUACUUCACGAACUGUUUCAUAAAUAACUAUUUCCUCCGUCAUACUUUCUGCAGCAGAUUAUUUGAUCGGAAAAAAGAAAAUAGUAAGAAAUCUUAUAGGGGUAAACAAUCACUGUCAAGAUGCUAUUAGAAAAAAAUACUCACAUAGCUUUCAAUAUAUAAAAAAAAACAGAAAACACAAGAAAGUCUUCUGGAAUAUACGAAAUUAAGAGCUAUUAGUAGAAAAGUAGUAAAACAAGCAAUAAAGAAAUCGUGGAAAAUUUUUUAAAUCAAUAUUAAACAGUUUUACCCCAGCAGUAAUAAAUAGUGUGGAAACAAAUGAACAAAAUUGCGGGGGGCCACACAAACUCUUCAGUAAGAUAUUUAGAAUAUAAACAAAAUUCGAACAUCUAGAUAUGAGAUAGCUUUUUUCUAGUGAUGUUGGCGAUUUUACCCAUCUUAUUCUAUUCAUGGCAGCUCGAAAUAGGUCAACUGACGUUAAACCAGUUCAUUUCCUAAGAUUGGUCUGCCGAAUCUACGUCCAGGGCCAUAGGCGUAGCCAUGGGGGUUUUAACCCCCCCCCCCCAUUUGGUUGUACUUUGAGUUCUAUCGCUUAAAACCAUUACUAUUCCAUAUAUCCAAAGACUAUUCAGUAGUUGUAACUGUUAUAAAAUGAGUUAGGUGAGCUAACUAAAUGACCAUCAACGAUUAUAAUUUAUUCUUAAUUACAGGACAAUAGGAAACUUGACUGACAUUAUAUUUUAUAAUUUUCUGACAUUGACAUUACUUCUAUUAUCAAUACUGUCAUUACAUAGAGUAUGUACAACUAUAGAGCAACAUCUACUUUUAACGUUGUAUAUUGUAACACUCUCCCUCAACGUGAAAAGUAGAUAAGCCAAAAAAUUUUGGUUUCUUUCUAACACGCAUAUUGUAACGCUUAGAUUCUUAAACACCAUCAUCGCUUCUUUCUUCUCUAUUCACUUCUUGAUUUCACAAUUUCAUUGAUACCACUUUUCCCUUCUUUUCAUUUACACUAAAACAUUCCGACUGAUUCUGGUUAAGCGCGCCACGCACGGCGAGCUAAGCUAUAAUAUAUAUUUCAGAUUUCGGAUUUAUUCGCGCUGCAUGUCUCUUUGACUUUUGUUGGUGGAGACAAGAGACAGUUGACAAUUCCUGACUGUAAAUUGUCAGAUUUUUGGUUUGAUUGUUGUUUUUUUGCCAAAAACUUUUUGGUUAACUUAUUACUUAUUUAUUUUUAGAGGUGAUAAUACAUAUUUUUAUAUAAAUAUAACUAAAUCUUACAUUUUUUUAGUGGUAAAAAUAAGAUAAAAAAAUGAGUGAUCAUUUUACAUCCAUCCAGCGAUGAGAAUUUAGAAGGAAUUGACACUUAGGGAGUACCAAAAAAUUUAGAUUAUUUUGAGGAAACUGUGCCUUUGUUCGAUGGCGAUAAGUAUGUCCUGGAACAUUUUGGCAUCAUCAGAGUAAAAGUAGUAGAGAUGUUACAGGUCCAUUCAACACAUCCAAAAGUUGUUUACACAAAAUAGUAAGGAGAAUCACUUUUUUAUCUGCUGAAUACGUUCGUUGGCCAAAUGAGUAAAUGACAAUGAAAAACAGACUAUUUAAAGAUAUUUUCGUUAUUGCAAUUUCCCAGGGGGCUUAUGUGAAAAUCGAUAAACCAAAGGAAGAUCCAGAUUCAUAUUAAAAUAGGAACAAAAAUAUUCAAUACAGGCACAAAUGGUUUAUGAUCACGAGAAAAUGAUCAGGGAUAUAUUUGUUGUAUAUCCAGGUUCUGUACACUAUAGCAGAGUUUUAAGGAGAUCCAAUUUGUUUGCAGCUCUUCCACAAAGAUGUGGUGAAUACUAUAUUUUAGGUGAUAGUGAAUACACAUGUUUAAACAUUUUUUGACUCCAGUUAAAGACAAGGGUCAUUUAACAAGACAGUAAAGAAAUUAUAAUUAUUGUUCAAAAAUACAUAUGGGAUAGAGCAUUGUUUUGGAUUUCUCAAACAAAGAUUUAUAGGCAGCUGUAUCACCAUCCAUUAAGAAAUAUUAGAGAUAUAGUCCCAUUUAUAAGGGCUAGUGCAGUGUUACAUAACUUAGCAAUUGAUGAUAAUUUGCCCAUCAAUUGAAUGUUGAUGCACCUCAUCUUCUCAUUACCAACAAAUAUGAAAUUGAUGCUGUAUAUAGGUGGUGUUACAAAAAGAAAUUCAUGCAAGGUUUAAAUUUGAUUUUGUAAUAAUUGUGUUUAAUAAACUAUAUUCAGACACUUUCAAA